AUGCGUGGAGCUCCAUACACCACCAGAGGUGGUUUCUGCAGUGGAAGCGGGUUGGUGUGGAAUGCCCUACCCCACCAAAAGCAUCACAGGGUGAAGGAGCACCCUGCUAGGCCUGACACCCAGGCCUCGGAGAGUCUGAGUCCGGCUGGCUUCCACUCUGGGUGUCGGGGCAGCCAGGAGGCACUGGAGUUCUUUCGGGCAGCAAGCAAUGCCGCAGAAAAUCAUCACACAUCAGCCAGAGCCCCGGCUUUCUUCGCCCCGGAUCCCGACGUCCGGCUGCCACGCUCGGAGGUGCCUCCAUUCCGGGGCGGCCUGCCCUUGAUGGCAGGAUCUGGGCUUUUCCUUCCCCUGAAAGAAAACCAAAGUGCUCUUCUCAAAGUCCAAUAAAGACGUUUCCGCGGCU
This 403-nucleotide long non-coding RNA is filed under the name Fukomys damarensis (Damara mole-rat). RNAcentral describes it as "lncRNA (ENSFDAG00000032214.1)". Lineage: Eukaryota; Metazoa; Chordata; Mammalia; Rodentia; Bathyergidae. The record is from RNAcentral.